GAUGAACGCUGGCGGCGUGCCUAAUACAUGCAAGUCGAGCGAACGGACGAGAAGCUUGCUUCUCUGAUGUUAGCGGCGGACGGGUGAGUAACACGUGGAUAACCUACCUAUAAGACUGGGAUAACUUCGGGAAACCGGAGCUAAUACCGGAUAAUAUUUUGAACCGCAUGGUUCAAAAGUGAAAGACGGUCUUGCUGUCACUUAUAGAUGGAUCCGCGCUGCAAUAGCUAGUUGGUAAGGUAACGGCUUACCAAGGCAACGAUGCAUAGCCGACCUGAGAGGGUGAUCGGCCACACUGGAACUGAGACACGGUCCAGACUCCUACGGGAGGCAGCAGUAGGGAAUCUUCCGCAAUGGGCGAAAGCCUGACGGAGCAACGCCGCGUGAGUGAUGAAGGUCUUCGGAUCGUAAAACUCUGUUAUUAGGGAAGAACAUAUGUGUAAGUAACUGUGCACAUCUUGACGGUACCUAAUCAGAAAGCCACGGCUAACUACGUGCCAGCAGCCGCGGUAAUACGUAGGUGGCAAGCGUUAUCCGGAAUUAUUGGGCGUAAAGCGCGCGUAGGCGGUUUUUUAAGUCUGAUGUGAAGCCCACGGCUCAACCGUGGAGGGUCAUUGGAAACUGGAAAACUUGAGUGCAGAAGAGGAAAGUGGAAUUCCAUGUGUAGCGGUGAAAUGCGCAGAGAUAUGGAGGAACACCAGUGGCGAAGGCGACUUUCUGGUCUGUAACUGACGCUGAUGUGCGAAAGCGUGGGGAUCAAACAGGAUUAGAUACCCUGGUAGUCCACGCCGUAAACGAUGAGUGCUAAGUGUUAGGGGGUUUCCGCCCCUUAGUGCUGCAGCUAACGCAUUAAGCACUCCGCCUGGGGAGUACGACCGCAAGGUUGAAACUCAAAGGAAUUGACGGGGACCCGCACAAGCGGUGGAGCAUGUGGUUUAAUUCGAAGCAACGCGAAGAACCUUACCAAAUCUUGACAUCCUUUGACAACUCUAGAGAUAGAGCUUUCCCCUUCGGGGGACAAAGUGACAGGUGGUGCAUGGUUGUCGUCAGCUCGUGUCGUGAGAUGUUGGGUUAAGUCCCGCAACGAGCGCAACCCUUAAGCUUAGUUGCCAUCAUUAAGUUGGGCACUCUAAGUUGACUGCCGGUGACAAACCGGAGGAAGGUGGGGAUGACGUCAAAUCAUCAUGCCCCUUAUGAUUUGGGCUACACACGUGCUACAAUGGACAAUACAAAGGGCAGCGAAACCGCGAGGUCAAGCAAAUCCCAUAAAGUUGUUCUCAGUUCGGAUUGUAGUCUGCAACUCGACUACAUGAAGCUGGAAUCGCUAGUAAUCGUAGAUCAGCAUGCUACGGUGAAUACGUUCCCGGGUCU
Molecule: ribosomal RNA, 1371 nt
Filed under: uncultured bacterium
Lineage: Bacteria
Description: bacterial SSU rRNA
Rfam family: Bacterial small subunit ribosomal RNA
Source: RNAcentral